Pyrus x bretschneideri (Chinese white pear) is the source of this 1500-nucleotide long non-coding RNA. RefSeq lists it as uncharacterized. NCBI's taxonomy places the organism in Eukaryota, Viridiplantae, Streptophyta, Magnoliopsida, Rosales, Rosaceae. The record is from RefSeq and is a predicted model, not a curated record. The transcript has 6 exons.
UUGGGUUUGCUUCGAAACAAACUCCACUUUUGCUUCCAUUUCGUCUUCUCUCUCAGAAACAUUACCUUCUCUCUCUCAGAAAGCACCAACAACACUGUUCGGCUUGCAUAGGUUCGUGAAUUUGAUGAAAAUUAAAAUGAAUUUAAGGAAAGGAGUUUGAAGAAAGCGAAGUUUUUGUACACUUCGAUUGGUUUUUUUCUGGUUGGUUCGAAAUACUUAUGAGAUUGGGAGACAACCCAGAAAUUCAAAUAAAAAAUUAAAAAAAAACCGUGAAUUUGGUCCCGAUUCGAAGAAAAUUUUAAGCCCAGAAAAAAGCUGCGUUUCCUGGUGAGUUUUCCGGCCGAUUUGGGGUUGAUAAUUAUGUGAUUUGAAUAUUCUAUGUUUAGAACUAUAUAUUUGAAUUUCAAAAUGAGUUUUCUUUGCAAAUUUCCCUUUUUUUAUUUUGGGGGUUUUGUUUUCAAACUUGAACGCCUUUUAUUUUUGGGGUAAGCAAUUUAAAGUUUUUUUUAAGUUUUAUUAUAUUGGAGUUGAAUUUGGUUGUUCAUUGGGGUUGAUUUUGUUCAAGUUUUGGUGGAUUUAAAUUUUUUUUUUUUCAUUUUUCUUAUCCAUUUCUUUUUGUGAUGAUACAUGCAUGUAAAUGUCCACUGUAGGAGUUCUGUAGUAACAGUUCUCCAUAUCGUGAGGGAAUAUAUUGUCAUCCAGUUUGUAGGAAUGUGAGGACUAAAUUGAUGUAGCCUGAAAUAGUUUAGAGGAGUGCAUGUAUAAAUAAUAAACGUAAAACUUAUUUUUCGUGUUUUUGUUUAGCUUAUUUAUGCUUUUAACUACAUGGCAUAGGUCUAACAUGAUUAGAACUUUAAUGUCAUGAUGUGUGAUGCUAAUUAAGCACAAUAUGAGUAUCUUAACCAAGAAAAACUUGAGCACCUAUCUGUUCCUAUUGAGUCAAGUGAGGCAUCGUAUGCACAAGCACGAGUCAUGACUAAUUAAUGUCCUACGAAAUAAACCAUUUUUAAGACCUUAUAUCAUUUGGAUCUUUAGUUAUGUAACAAGCUGGUCAUUAUGUUGCAGAUUGAGACAAGUUUUGGAAAAGAAAACAAAUUUAAUUAAGUUUGGAGUUGAUUUUGUUUGAGUUUAGAGGGCUAGAAACGUUGUCGUUUUCUGAAGCCCUCUGUACGCAAGAGAGUGAAAAGUGCACUGUUCACAAAGGCAAAACAAAAGACAGCUUCUACAUAUUGGAAGAAGAGAGGUUGAAGUCACUAGCUUUAUUAAUGGUGGUAACCGAAAUCAACCCAAGCUCAUGUUAAAACGAUACAUAAUUUUCAAUAUGGAAUUUCACCGGCAUUGCAGACGGCUAUGAGUUGACGGUUCAAGGUGGAAAAUGAAUUAAUCAUGACAAAAAUCUACCUUUUAAUUCCCCACGAAAUGAUAGGAUGUCAAUACUUUAGAACUAAACUAUCUAACUUUUUUAACUUGGAUAAUUUAUAAAUUGUCGUUCAUUUCUUA